AGUUAUUGAGUAAGCUUACACUUACAAAUUAUGAUUUACAAUUUCAAUCGAGGAACGUAGUGUCGGACAAUUAUGCCAUUCGGAAGAAGUCUUCUACAGAAGAAAAUGAAAGCCUCUAUCCCUUCGGGGUAGGAGUAAGUUAGCUCCUGGAUUGGAUAUUGACCAAGUGGCGCGAAGAACAGAAGGUUACAGAGCAGAUGAUCUUACAAAUAUAUGCAGAGAUGCUUCUUUAAAUGGGAUGAAGCGUAAGAUAGCAGAGAAUUAAGAGACAUGAUGAGAUUAAGAACAUGUCCGAGGAUGAAAUUUUGAAAAUUUCAGUUAUAAUGGAUGACUUCCUAGAAGUUCUAAGUAAAAUACAACGCUCAGUCUCUGCAGGGGGACAUUGAACGAUAUAAACAAAUGGUCUUCAGAAUUUGGAUCAACCUAGCAAAUGAAGUAACUUCCAUGAAAAACCACAUAAUUUACUAAAACAUUUAGCAUUUCUAGGGGUUCUUUUUUCUGUUACUUGGCAAAAGAAUCACUUGAUUAUGUGAGACAUUAAUGGUCAGAUGUCAUAGUUCUUCUGUGUUCUUUCUGUUCGGUUCGAUCUAUCUAUUUUGACGUUAUUGAUUUUCUUCUUUUUGGGUGUAA
This is a long non-coding RNA of Nicotiana attenuata, 630 nucleotides long. RefSeq lists it as uncharacterized. Lineage: Eukaryota; Viridiplantae; Streptophyta; Magnoliopsida; Solanales; Solanaceae. The transcript is spliced from 2 exons. The record is from RefSeq and is a predicted model, not a curated record.